This 334-nucleotide unclassified non-coding RNA is filed under the name uncultured Paraglomeraceae. Its description in RNAcentral is "sequence contains 18S rRNA gene". RNAcentral also lists the same sequence under 1 other name. The record is from RNAcentral. Lineage: Eukaryota; Fungi; Glomeromycota; Glomeromycetes; Paraglomerales.
CCCAACUAUCCCUAUUAAUCAUUACAACAGUCCUAGAAACCAACAAAUAGAACCAUUGUCCUAUUCCAUUAUUCCAUGCUAAUGUAUUCAAGCGUAUGCCUGCUUUGAACACUCUAAUUUUUUCACAGUAAAAGUCCUGGUUCCCCGUCACGACCCGUAAAGGCCAUGCCGCUUCGCCAGAAGGUAAAGCCCGACCACAGACAGUGCUCACCCAGAAGGCGGACCGUCCAGCCAGGCCUGAAGUUCAACUACGAGCUUUUUAACUGCAACAACUUUAAUAUACGCUAUUGGAGCUGGAAUUACCGCGGCUGCUGGCACCAGACUUGCCCUCCAA